GACGAACGCUGGCGGCGUGCCUAACACAUGCAAGUCGAGCGGGGUUGAAGCGAGAGGUAACUCGAGCUUCUACCUAGCGGCGGACGGGUGAGUAACGCGUGGGCAACCUGCCUCAAGGUUUGGGAUAACAGCCCGAAAGGGCUGCUAAUACCGGAUAUGCCUAUGGCCUCGCAUGGGGCUAUGAGCAAAGGGGAAACCCGCCUUGAGAUGGGCCCGCGUCCCAUCAGCUAGUUGGUGAGGUAACAGCUCACCAAGGCGACGACGGGUAGCCGGCCUGAGAGGGUGACCGGCCACACUGGGACUGAGACACGGCCCAGACUCCUACGGGGGGCAGCAGUGGGGGAUCUUGCACAAUGGGCGAAAGCCUGAUGCAGCGACGCCGCGUGAGCGAAGAAGGCCUCGGUUGUAAGCUCUGUCUGGAGGGACGGAACAAAAUAGACGGUACCGUCCGGACGGAAGGACCACGGCUAACUACGUGCCAGCAGCCGCGGUAACAUACUCGUA
Molecule: ribosomal RNA, 504 nt
Filed under: uncultured bacterium
Lineage: Bacteria
Description: bacterial SSU rRNA
Rfam family: Bacterial small subunit ribosomal RNA
Source: RNAcentral